This 253-nucleotide ribosomal RNA is filed under the name uncultured bacterium. Its description in RNAcentral is "partial 16S ribosomal RNA". It matches the Rfam family "Bacterial small subunit ribosomal RNA", at positions 524 to 776 of the family's 1533-position model. The record is from RNAcentral.
UACGAAGGGGGCUAGCGUUGCCCGGAAUUACUGGGCGUAAAGGGCGCGUAGGCGGCUCUGUUAGUCAGGCGUGAAAGUCCUGGGCUCAACCUGGGAACUGCGCUUGAUACGGCAGAGCUAGAGGAUGGAAGAGGGUCGCGGAAUUCCCAGUGUAGAGGUGAAAUUCGUAGAUAUUGGGAAGAACACCGGUGGCGAAGGCGGCGACCUGGGCCAUUACUGACGCUGAGGCGCGACAGCGUGGGGAGCAAACAGG